This 405-nucleotide ribosomal RNA is filed under the name uncultured Romboutsia sp. RNAcentral's name for it is "bacterial SSU rRNA". It matches the Rfam family "Bacterial small subunit ribosomal RNA", at positions 976 to 1380 of the family's 1533-position model. The record is from RNAcentral. Lineage: Bacteria; Bacillati; Bacillota; Clostridia; Peptostreptococcales; Peptostreptococcaceae.
UAAGCUUGACAUCCUUUUGACCGAUGCCUAAUCGCAUCUUUCCUUUCGGGGACAGAAGUGACAGGUGGUGCAUGGUUGUCGUCAGCUCGUGUCGUGAGAUGUUGGGUUAAGUCCCGCAACGAGCGCAACCCUUGCCUUUAGUUGCCAUCAUUAAGUUGGGCACUCUAGAGGGACUGCCAGGGAUAACCUGGAGGAAGGUGGGGAUGACGUCAAAUCAUCAUGCCCCUUAUGCUUAGGGCUACACACGUGCUACAAUGGGUGGUACAGAGGGCAGCCAAGUCGUGAGGCGGGGCUAAUCCCUUAAGGCCAGUCUCAGUUCGGAUUGUAGGCUGAAACUCGCCUACAUGAAGCUGGAGUUACUAGUAAUCGCAGAUCAGAAUGCUGCGGUGAAUGCUUUCCCGGGUC